GACGAACGCUGGCGGCGUGCUUAACACAUGCAAGUCGAACGAUGAAGUUCCUUCGGGAAUGGAUUAGUGGCGAACGGGUGAGAAACACGUGAGAAACCUGCCCCUGACUCUGGGAUAAGCGCUGGAAACGGCGUCUAAUACUGGAUAUGUGAUGUGACCGCAUGGUCUGCAUCUGGAAAGAAUUUCGGUUGGGGAUGGGCUCGCGGCCUAUCAGCUUGUUGGUGAGGUAAUGGCUCACUCAGGCGUCGACGGGUAGCCGGCCUGAGAGGGUGACCGGCCACACUGGGACUGAGACACGGCCCAGACUCCUACGGGAGGCAGCAGUGGGGAAUAUUGCACAAUGGGCGGAAGCCUGAUGCAGCAACGCCGCGUGAGGGAUGACGGCCUUCGGGUUGUAAACCUCUUUUAGCAGGGAAGAAGCGAAAGUGACGGUACCUGCAGAAAAAGCACCGGCUAACUACGUGCCAGCCGCCGCCGUAA
RNAcentral lists this ribosomal RNA (480 nucleotides) under uncultured bacterium. Its description in RNAcentral is "partial 16S ribosomal RNA". It matches the Rfam family "Bacterial small subunit ribosomal RNA", at positions 28 to 523 of the family's 1533-position model. The record is from RNAcentral.